ACACUCCUACGGGAGGCCGCAGUCUUUCAUUUUCCGCCAUGGCCGAAAGCCUGACGGAGCAAUACCGCGUGAGGGAAGAAGGCUCUAGGGUUGUAAACCUCUUUUCUUGGGGAAGAAAAAAAUGACGGUACCUGAGGAAUAAGCAUCGGCUAACUCCGUGCCAGCAGCCGCGGUAAUACGGAGGAUGCAAGCGUUAUCCGGAAUGAUUGGGCGUAAAGCGUCCGCAGGUGGCAAUUCAAGUCUGCUGUCAAAGCUCAGGGCUCAACCCUGAAAAGGCAGUGGAAACUGAACAGCUAGAGUGCGGUAGGGGCAGAGGGAAUUCCCAGUGGAGCGGUGAAAUGCGUAGAGAUUGGGAAGAACACCAGUGGCGAAAGCGCUCUGCUAGACCGCAACUGACACUAAUGGACGAAAGCUAGGGGAGCGAAUGGGAUUAGAAACCCGGGUAGUCCCA
This 451-nucleotide ribosomal RNA is filed under the name uncultured Chroococcidiopsis sp. RNAcentral's name for it is "bacterial SSU rRNA". It matches the Rfam family "Bacterial small subunit ribosomal RNA", at positions 333 to 798 of the family's 1533-position model. The record is from RNAcentral. Lineage: Bacteria; Bacillati; Cyanobacteriota; Cyanophyceae; Chroococcidiopsidales; Chroococcidiopsidaceae.